Molecule: long non-coding RNA, 700 nt
Filed under: Numida meleagris (helmeted guineafowl)
Lineage: Eukaryota; Metazoa; Chordata; Aves; Galliformes; Numididae
Description: lncRNA (ENSNMEG00000017560.1)
Source: RNAcentral
AUGCACCCUUACCUCAGCCCUGCAUCAGCCCCAGGGUGGGCGUUCCCCCGGUCUGUUGGAGUGGCCCUGGGGACCAGCACCAUCCAUAGUGCCUUUCCCAGCUCACCAGUGUCAAGUACUACAGAUCCACCCCACUGGAGAAAGAUAACACAGAGGUGUCUACACCACAAAAUGGAGUUUGAUGGAGAAAACAGUGCUGACCAAGAACUGACUUUAUGUAAAGCUACUCAGAUGGAAGAUUCUGAUUCAGAAGACACAGGUGGGUAGAGAGAGCUGUGGUUUACAUCCACUGAUGUUAACAAGCUGUGAAGUUUAAUAACCAAAGAAACUUCACAAACUGAAGGCCAUGACACUGCGCCUAAGGAGUACUGUACCCUAGUCUUGCUGCCAGGUGAACACAUCAAUUUCUGAGCUUUCACAGGGAAUAUCAAGAUCUGGAGCUUAGAUCAUCUGGCGUUGACUGUGUUCUGGAUGAAGAUGACUUAAAAUUGUUCAUAAGGUUUUAGAAGGGAAACAGGCAAACACAUACUCUCCAAACACACACAGUCAGUUAAACAUGAAAAAAAAAAGUGAAUAUUCUUUCGAGGCAAAUAUUUUCUGUGCACUUGGUCUUGUAAAUUUCAUUUUCCAGUAUGAUGGAAAUCAAUGUACAUGUUCCAUUCACAUACAAUAAAAUAUCUGUGAAGGUUUUGUUCUCUCA